Long non-coding RNA from Homo sapiens (human), 263 nucleotides. RefSeq lists it as uncharacterized. The record is from RefSeq and is a predicted model, not a curated record. NCBI's taxonomy places the organism in Eukaryota, Metazoa, Chordata, Mammalia, Primates, Hominidae. The transcript has 3 exons.
GUAGGGAGUGUGUGCGUAUGUGUUCGAGGUCUACGUAGACCAUGACAGGAAACUGCUACAGUCAUCCAGGAAAAAAAAAAAGAAUCACUACCUAGUGGAAAAUGUUGUGCAAGCCUCUUCAUGUUUCUUCCCUCCAGAAAACAACUAAACAGAUGGAAGAACUGGUUCACAAACAUCCCAACUCUCUCCUGCCAAGGAAUAUAACAGAAGCAGAACAAUCUGAAUCUGGCUGGGGGAUUGUCCUAGACCCUGGGAUGAGAGGG